RNAcentral lists this long non-coding RNA (200 nucleotides) under Nicotiana benthamiana. Its description in RNAcentral is "long non-coding RNA (NBEN_LNC000008)". Lineage: Eukaryota; Viridiplantae; Streptophyta; Magnoliopsida; Solanales; Solanaceae. The record is from RNAcentral.
UAUUUAAAAUGGGACAGAGGGAGUAGGUAACAAGCUACUAAGAUUAAAAAAAUAAUGAUGAUCAACUUAAGCACUUGCGUAUUAAAUGUGCUCAUUUAACUUCAACGGAAGAUUUUAAUUAUACAAGGUGUUCAACUUAUGUGUGUGUAAUUUAUACAAUUAAAUUAUUUAUAAGUUAAUUAAUGGAGUAUAAUAUUUUU